UACGUAGGGGGCAAGCGUUGUCCGGAUUUAUUGGGCGUAAAGAGCGUGUAGGCGGCCAGACAGGUCAGCUGUGAAAACUCGAGGCUCAACCUCGAGACGUCGGCGGAAACCAUCUGGCUAGAGUCCGGAAGAGGAGAGUGGAAUUCCUGGUGUAGCGGUGAAAUGCGCAGAUAUCAGGAAGAACACCCGUGGCGAAGGCGGCUCUCUGGGACGGUACUGACGCUGAGACGCGAAAGCGUGGGGAGCGAACAGG
Molecule: ribosomal RNA, 253 nt
Filed under: uncultured bacterium
Lineage: Bacteria
Description: partial 16S ribosomal RNA
Rfam family: Bacterial small subunit ribosomal RNA
Source: RNAcentral